Lynx canadensis (Canada lynx) is the source of this 107-nucleotide long non-coding RNA. RefSeq lists it as uncharacterized. The transcript has 3 exons. The record is from RefSeq and is a predicted model, not a curated record. Lineage: Eukaryota; Metazoa; Chordata; Mammalia; Carnivora; Felidae.
AUUCUUGGCUGCAGAUUUUUCCCAUUCAGCACUUUGAAUAUAUCAUGCCACUCCUUUCUUGCUUGGAAAGUUUUAGCCAAAAAUCUGCUGAUAGCUUAGAGGAGUUU